UGAAACUCAACUCCCCUUCUCUUCUCCCCAUUCACGUGUUCACGUAAAAAUCACCAAAAUCUCAAACCCUCCUCCUUUCUCUCAGCCGUCGGACCUCUGCUGCGCCACCACUCCUCCGUCGUCGGUGCUCCUCCAUCUCCUCCUGCUUCUUCUUUUUCGUUUUCCUUUCUCCUUUACUUUGCUUUAUUGUCUUCUCUCAUCCUCACUUUGUGGUUCUGUUUCUAGCGACAGCCACCGUUGCCCGACCACCUAUAGCCACCAGCCGUGUCGCCCAGCGCCGACGACCACCCACCUGCCGCGCCGCCCUGCCGCCGGCAACACUCCCUUUAUUCCCUCUCUUUUUGGCGGAGAAUUUUCUUUAGGCGAUAUUUGAAAGUGUUAAAGUGGCCUAUUAGUUGUUUAUACAAGUCUCUAAGGAUCAAUAAGCGUUGCCCAUCUACAGGUUUGAAGAUGAUGCAUCAUUGGGAUCGGGAUUAGAGAGCUUGUAGUUAUAUUUGUUUUAUUAAGUGAUUUGGUUUGUUAACUUAUAUUUGAAAGUUGUCGUACUAUUCGUAUUUCCUUAUUUCCGUUAAUUGGUUUUGGACUUAAUAUGUAAUCAAUUAUUUAUGAACCUAAAAGUUAGUUUUAUGUUUUCCGCUGCAAAA
Spinacia oleracea (spinach) is the source of this 644-nucleotide long non-coding RNA. RefSeq lists it as uncharacterized. The transcript has 3 exons. NCBI's taxonomy places the organism in Eukaryota, Viridiplantae, Streptophyta, Magnoliopsida, Caryophyllales, Amaranthaceae. The record is from RefSeq and is a predicted model, not a curated record.